RNAcentral lists this ribosomal RNA (439 nucleotides) under uncultured bacterium. RNAcentral's name for it is "bacterial SSU rRNA". It matches the Rfam family "Bacterial small subunit ribosomal RNA", at positions 355 to 786 of the family's 1533-position model. The record is from RNAcentral.
UGAGGAAUAUUGCGCAAUGGGCGAAAGCCUGACGCAGCGACGCCGCGUGAGGGAUGAAGGUCUUCGGAUCGUAAACCUCUGUCAGCAGGGAAGAAAUUUUAGUGUGCUAAUCAGCAUUAAAUUGACGGUACCUGCAAAGGAAGCACCGGCUAACUCCGUGCCAGCAGCCGCGGUAAUACGGAGGGUGCGAGCGUUAAUCGGAAUUACUGGGCGUAAAGCGCUCGUAGGUGGUAUGUCAAGUCAAGGGUGAAAUCCCCGCGCUCAACGUGGGAACUGCCUUUGAAACUGGCAGACUGGAGUGUGUGAGAGGAUAGUGGAAUUCCAGGUGUAGGAGUGAAAUCCGUAGAUAUCUGGAGGAACAUCAGUGGCGAAGGCGACUAUCUGGCACAUAACUGACACUGAGGAGCGAAAGCGUGGGUAGCAAACAGGAUUAGAUACC